This 477-nucleotide ribosomal RNA is filed under the name uncultured bacterium. RNAcentral's name for it is "bacterial SSU rRNA". It matches the Rfam family "Bacterial small subunit ribosomal RNA", at positions 28 to 507 of the family's 1533-position model. The record is from RNAcentral.
GACGAACGCUGGCGGCGUGCUUAACACAUGCAAGUCGAACGGACCGAGUUGAUAGCUUGCUAUUGAUGAGGUUAGUGGCAAACGGGUGAGUAACGCGUAGGCAACCUGCCCUUCAGAUGGGGACAACACCUCGAAAGGGGUGCUAAUAACCGAAUGACGUUUCCUAGUCGCAUGACCUGGAAACCAAAGGCCGGGCAACCGGUCACUGAAGGAUGGGCCUGCGUCUGAUUAGCUAGUUGGUGGGGUAACGGCCCACCAAGGCGACGAUCAGUAGCCGGUCUGAGAGGAUGAACGGCCACAUUGGGACUGAGACACGGCCCAAACUCCUACGGGAGGCAGCAGUGGGGAAUAUUGCACAAUGGGGGAAACCCUGAUGCAGCGACGCCGCGUGAGUGAAGAAGUAUCUCGGUACGUAAAGCUCUAUCAGCAGGGAAGAAAAUGACGGUACCUGACCAAGAAGCCCCGGCUAACUACGUG